RNAcentral lists this ribosomal RNA (440 nucleotides) under uncultured bacterium. RNAcentral's name for it is "partial 16S ribosomal RNA". It matches the Rfam family "Bacterial small subunit ribosomal RNA", at positions 338 to 795 of the family's 1533-position model. The record is from RNAcentral.
CCUACGGGUGGCAGCAGUAGGGAAUAUUGCUCAAUGGGGGAAACCCUGAAGCAGCAACGCCGCGUGGAGGAUGAAGGUUCUCGGAUUGUUAACCCCCUUUGUUAGAGAAGAUAAUGACGGUACGUAACUAAUAAGCACCGGCUAACUCCGUGCAAGCAGCCGCGGUAAUAUGGCGGGUGCAAGCGUUACUCGGAAUCACUGGGCGUUAAGAGCGGGUAGGCGGGAUAGCAAGUCAGAUGUGAAAUCCUAUGGGUUAACCAUAGACGUGCAUUUGAAACUGCUAUUCUUGAGUAUGGGAGAGGUAGGUGGAAUUCUUGGUGUAGGGGUGAAAUGCGUAGAGAUCAAGAAGAAUACUGAUUGCGAAGGCAGCCUACUGGAGCAUAACUGACGCUGAUGCGCGAAAGCGUGGGGAGCAAACAGGAUUAGAUACCCGAGUAGUC